AUGAUUACCUACCGAGAUCUCAUCAGCCACAAAGAGGUAUCCUCUGACUUUUACAAAGAUCCUGGAGAUCAGGGACAGGCUGUGCCUUGAGAUGGAGGGGAAAAAGGUCAGUAGGACAGAGGGUAACAUCAAAGACUUGCCCAUUAGUGAGAAUGCCUCCACUGAAGACCCCUAGGGUAAAGGUACAGAAAGCACAGUAUUUGAUGCUGUUGUUAUCAUCAUGAAACAUCACUCGCCAGAAACCAGCUCCGCAAAAGAAGCCUACAGGAAAUACAUCAAAAAUUACGUGAGAAGAGUCAAAGGCAAACGUGAAGAACAGAGACCGUAAAAAGUAAAAUCUUUUAUGACAGACUGCAGAACAAAUCAAGCACAUCCUUGCUAAUUUCAAAAACUACCAGUUCAUUAUUUGUGAGGACAUGAAUCCAGAUGGCAUGCUGGCUCUAUUGGACUACCAGGAAGAUGACGUGACCCCAUAUAUGAUUUUCUUUAAGGAUGAUUUAGAAAUGGAAAAAUGUUAA
RNAcentral lists this long non-coding RNA (518 nucleotides) under Homo sapiens (human). RNAcentral's name for it is "non-protein coding lnc-HUNK-1:1". The record is from RNAcentral. Lineage: Eukaryota; Metazoa; Chordata; Mammalia; Primates; Hominidae.